Long non-coding RNA from Poecile atricapillus (Black-capped chickadee), 1507 nucleotides. RefSeq lists it as uncharacterized. NCBI's taxonomy places the organism in Eukaryota, Metazoa, Chordata, Aves, Passeriformes, Paridae. The record is from RefSeq and is a predicted model, not a curated record. The transcript is spliced from 4 exons.
CUGGGUGGUGAUGUGCUGGCGGCAGGAAGGACAGAUUGUGGAGGUUGGUUUGCUGGAGAAGAUCCCUGCGACGAUGAUCGGAGGCUGGGGCACCAAAUAAACUGAGCUCAGGAGGAGAGGAGAAACAGCCAGGAUUGCCACCGACACGACACACAUGACAAAAACACCUUAGAGACCAUGGUGCUGAUCUGGGAAGGAGGAGGAGGAGUGGACCCUUCACCCUCAGGGUCAUUUGGGACGUUCCUUAUCCAGAUGCAGGGAAUUAAAUUUAAAUCUUGAACACCUGGACCUUCCUUCAAUUUCCUCACUUGAAAGAAGCAGCAGGUCAGAGCAUCGUUUCUAUAAGAGAAAGGAUGGAAAGAGCUCAGCACAGCUGCUCUUAGUUGUGGCAGGUUAAUGGCUGAAUAACUGACAUAAUCAAAGAUACAAAUCCCAACCAGUAAAUUCCUGGAAAUGCAAAGUGUUCUUGGAAUUUCUAUGCUGAGAUUUUCUGGGAAGAUUGCUUCACCUGCCUGGUUUCAGUCCCAAAUAACUGCUGAAAUUCCACCCUUUUAAGUGCAGUGCUUCUUCUGCAAGCCCUGUGAAAAAGCAGCCACGUACCCUGUGAUCACCAUGGUCAAGUGAAAACCAGACUGAUCCUGCUUUAUUUUUUCUGGCCUGAAGAGACAAGCUGUCUGCCCCUGCAGAGUUUACCCUUGUGGGUCCCAGCUGGCUGUGCCUUCACUGGGAUGGAAACUGCUCCAGCCUGCUGAGUGAGCCAUGCAACAUCCCUGGAUUCAGUGAGAGCAAAAUAAUUCAAAGGCACCCCAAGGAGCAGAAGUCAGACACACUGAAGAACAGCCCAGGCUGGGUAAUCCAGUGAGUGCAGGAACUGGGAAUUGUCCUGACUAUGUGUGAGAGCCUGUACAGAAAGGAAAAAGAAUGAGACAAGAAAAAUAUGUCAAAGAAAGAGUUAUUGUGCUCUAAACUCCUUGGGUUGUUUUUGUGGAAGGCCCUUAAAAUCUCGACCCAGGAAGAUGGAGAUAACACCAGCAGAGCACACCCAAAGCUAAUUUGUGUGAGUGUUGUCAGGAGGCACUGUGGGAGAGAAGAUGAUGACUUUAUGCCAGCACAGGGUAUCUUGAGCACAAGCUGAGUGUUUCAGUUGUGAGUUUAGCUUAGUUUUGAACAGUCUGAAGCUCUGUAAUGCCAUUUUAAGUGGUUUUGAGUAUGUUAGUUGGAAAAAGAAGAUACAGAGAACUCUUUCAGCACAAAACUCUGUAAUUUACUGGACACUGUUUUCAGGAGGAUUUUGGUGCUGUACAUGAGGUGCUCCAUUUGCUUCUCAGAUAUUUUGCCAGGCAAGGUGCCCAAUAAUUAUGUACUGAAAGAUCAAGAGACACUGGUGCUCCUAACCAAACAAUUUCACUUUCAGAGCAUAAGGAACUCAUGCAAGUGACAGGUCAGAGAGCAGAUUAAUUUGGACACAGCAUGCUUCUCUUGAGAAGUCCUGCUUGGAGGGGAAGUG